Molecule: long non-coding RNA, 514 nt
Organism: Sapajus apella (tufted capuchin)
Lineage: Eukaryota; Metazoa; Chordata; Mammalia; Primates; Cebidae
Exons: 4
Source: RefSeq, a predicted model, not a curated record
CCCCGAGCCCAGCCCUGCAAGCGGCCCGGCCGCGCCUCGGGCGAUCUGGAGCCUUUAUUAUGAUGUUUAAGUAAGCAGUCGUGUGUGCCAACUGCAAUGCCGGGAUUUUAAAUAGCAGAAAUGAAAGGCCCCUGCCCCCGCCUCCCUCCUCCCCUGAGUUCAUGUAUUAUGAAUGAAACGCCAGCCUCGCUGCUUCCCUGAGGUUGCUCCACUUCAGGUUCCAGGUAGAGUGUAAUGGAAAGAGCCUGGACCCUGGUACUAUUCCCAGUUCCUCUAUGAACUUGCUAUGUGACUAUAGUCUCUCAGUAGAUCCUUCACCUCAUCAAUGAAGUGGAGUCAGUACCACCCACUUUGGAAGAAUUGUUUUGAAGAUUAAAAGAGUUACUGAUCAUUAUCCAUUCAAUUGUAGGGAUAUACUGAAUGCUUACAAGCCAGGCACUGUGUUCAUAGGAGGAAGCCAUCGCACUGUGGAGAGUGAGGCUUCCUGGAAGAAUGGAAUGCUGAGCUGGACCCA